CCUACGGGUGGCAGCAGUGAGGAAUAUUGGUCAAUGGCCGGAAGGCUGAACCAGCCAUGCCGCGUGAAGGUCAGUGCCCUAUGGGCGUUAAACUUCUUUUGUGCGGGAGCAAUAAUGGUCACGUGUGGCCAGACGAGAGUACCGUACGAAUAAGCAUCGGCUUACUCCGUGCCAGCAGCCGCGGUAAUACGGGGGAUGCAAGCGUUAUCCGGAUGUAUUGGGUUUAAAGGGUUCGGAGGCUGGGAGGUAAGUCAGCGGUGAAAUGCCCCCGCUCAACGGGGUGAAGUGCCAUUGAUACUGCCUGGCUGGAGUGCGGAUGCCGUGGGAGGAAUGUGUGGUGUAGCGGUGAAAUGCAUAGAUAUCACACAGAACACCGAUUGCGAAGGCAUCUCACGAAUCCGCGAUUGACGCUGAUGCACGAAAGCGUGGGUAUCAAACAGGAUUAGAUACCCCUGUAGUC
This 460-nucleotide ribosomal RNA is filed under the name uncultured bacterium. Its description in RNAcentral is "partial 16S ribosomal RNA". It matches the Rfam family "Bacterial small subunit ribosomal RNA", at positions 338 to 795 of the family's 1533-position model. The record is from RNAcentral.